RNAcentral lists this ribosomal RNA (440 nucleotides) under uncultured bacterium. RNAcentral's name for it is "partial 16S ribosomal RNA". It matches the Rfam family "Bacterial small subunit ribosomal RNA", at positions 338 to 795 of the family's 1533-position model. The record is from RNAcentral.
CCUACGGGAGGCAGCAGUGGGGAAUAUUGCACAAUGGGGGAAACCCUGAUGCAGCAACGCCGCGUGAGUGAAGAAGUAUUUCGGUAUGUAAAGCUCUAUCAGCAGGGAAGAAAAUGACAGUACCUGACUAAGAAGCCCCGGCUAACUACGUGCCAGCAGCCGCGGGAAUACGUAGGGGGCAAGCGUUAUCCGGAUUUACUGGGUGUAAAGGGAGCGUAGCCGGCUGCGCAAGUCAGAAGUGAAAGCCCGGGGCUCAACCGCGGGACUGCUUUUGAAACUGUGUAGCUAGAGUCCAGGAGAGGUAAGUGGAAUUCCUAGUGUAGCGGUGAAAUGCGUAGAUAUUAGGAGGAACACCGGUGGCGAAGGCGGCUUACUGGACUGUAACUGACGUUGAGGCUCGAAAGCGUGGGGAGCAAACAGGAUUAGAUACCCGUGUAGUC